AAUGAACGCUGGCGGCGUGCUUAACACAUGCAAGUCGAACGAGGCUGGGGGGGCAACUCCUCAGUUUAGUGGCGGACGGGUGAGUAACACGUGGGUAACCUGCCCGGAAGUGGGGAAUACCUCGGGGAAACUCGAGCUAAUACCGCAUGACAUCUUCGGGACGAAAGUUCUGACGAUCAAAGCGGGGUCGCAAGAUCUCGCGCUACCGGAUGGGCCCGCGCCCGAUUAGCUAGUUGGUGGGGUAACGGCUCACCAAGGCGUCGAUCGGUAGCCGGCCUGAGAGGGUGAUCGGCCACACCGGAACUGAGACACGGUCCGGACUCCUACGGGAGGCAGCAGUGGGGAAUCUUGCGCAAUGGGCGAAAGCCUGACGCAGCAACGCCGCGUGGAGGAUGAAGGCCCUUGGGUUGUAAACUCCUGUCGGCUGGGAAGAAAUCGUGCGGUGCUCAUACCAUCGCGCGUUGACUGUACCAGCAAAGGAAGCCCCGGCUAACUCUGUGCCAGCAGCCGCGGUAAUACAGAGGGGGCUAGCGUUAUUCGGAAUUAUUGGGCGUAAAGGGCGCGUAAGCGGUCACGCGUGUCUUUCGUGAAAUCCCUCGGCUUAACUGA
This 609-nucleotide ribosomal RNA is filed under the name uncultured soil bacterium. RNAcentral describes it as "bacterial SSU rRNA". It matches the Rfam family "Bacterial small subunit ribosomal RNA", at positions 28 to 616 of the family's 1533-position model. The record is from RNAcentral.